UACGGAGGGGGCAAGCGUUGUUCGGAAUCAUUGGGCGUAAAGGGCGCGUAGGCGGCCGAUCAAGUCGGGUGUGAAAUCCCUCGGCUCAACCGAGGAACUGCACUCGAUACUGGUUGGCUCGAGUCCGGGAGGGGAUGGUGGAAUUCCCAGUGUAGCGGUGAAAUGCGUAGAUAUUGGGAAGAACACCGGUGGCGAAGGCGGUUCUCUGGGACGGUACUGACGCUGAGACGCGAAAGCGUGGGGAGCGAACAGG
Molecule: ribosomal RNA, 253 nt
Filed under: uncultured bacterium
Lineage: Bacteria
Description: partial 16S ribosomal RNA
Rfam family: Bacterial small subunit ribosomal RNA
Source: RNAcentral